Long non-coding RNA from Xiphias gladius (swordfish), 557 nucleotides. RefSeq lists it as uncharacterized. The record is from RefSeq and is a predicted model, not a curated record. The transcript is spliced from 4 exons. NCBI's taxonomy places the organism in Eukaryota, Metazoa, Chordata, Actinopteri, Istiophoriformes, Xiphiidae.
CUGACUUUCUUAUCACACUUGUGUUGACGUUAAAUAUCUUCUUCUGGAGUCAUGGACACCUGAAAAAAAAAGAAAAAAAGAAAAUCAGUGGCCUUGACUCAUCUCCGCUGUGGUGGUGUCACCCGUGCACUGGCUCUUUUGAGGGGCCACGGCAGCCGGUCCUCAGAGCCCUAAAAAGUUUAGUAGGACACUCCAUCCAACUUACAUGGACUUAUUCAUUUCAGCUUUGGUUUUCAGUCUGCUCAUGUAGUAGUGGACAGAAUGAAGAGGCGUGAUCAGUGAGAAAAGUCAAACAUGAAGUGCUGAAGCUCUACAAGCCUGUGUCAUCCAAGUGCCAAGAGCCGAGCGUAAACUUGUCAGAGUGAUGAAGGGGUAACUCCUCCGAACGCCACUGUAAAAUGGGAGGAGGGUUUCCCGCUGGCUCACGGGAACUGUAGAGCUGGGUUGCAGUUUUGGUGCAAUCAGAGGUGGACAGGAUCUGUGGAGCAACUGUAAUAAAAUGUAGCAGGACAGAAAAUCUAGUUUGGGUCCUGCAGCACAGGUUAAAAGGACAGAAG